UUCGUUGUUGAGUCCUUCUUCAAUAACCUGACUAUCUCCAUGUCCAACAUCGUCACUCCCUACUCGUCGUAAUGAUAGCAAAAGACAAACAAUAAAUACCAAAGAAAUAACAAAUCCUAAUAACAUCCAAAACAAAUUAAGAGUGGAUGAAUAGCAAGAUAUUGAUCGGAUGGAGAUUCCAAAAUGAAGUAUCAUGAUAGCGAAGGUGAGAUAUAGGAUUCAACGAAGUGAUACGGUUAGGUUGACACUACUAAUUAAGGAAGGCUUGACGAUCAAGACUAACGUUGUGAUGCAGAUUAAAAUAAAAUAGGAUCCACUCCCUUAUGACAAACCCAUACUAUGGUACAAAGUAAUUAACAAACUUAAUAAUGAGACACAUCUCAUGCAAUGCAUGUGUGUAUAGGAUCAUAAAGAUGUGUUAACUAAUAACACAAGCAUCAAACAUACAAGUGAUCAUGAGAAUAAUUAAACUAGGAGAUGCUCUUUAUAAAAUGAAAUAACAAAUAUCCAAUUAACUACUAAAAACAAGACUAUACCCACAUGCUUGUAAUAGCAUGGAAAACUAAGCACACUAAGCUUAUGAGAAAGGCACAAGUCAACUAACGAAAGGUAAACAAUCCAAUCAUGUGAUGAACUAAUGAAACAAGUAUUAAACACUCAUAAUACUAAAAUGAUACAAAGUCAAACAUCUAUACGGAGGAACUAAGUACGCAACUAUAACACACAAAACAUCGUGAGGCAUGAAAGAUGUCUAAGCAUAGAAUAACGCAAUAGCAAGGUAAACAAAUAUAACAUCUAAACAUGGAUGAUCAUCACAUGAGAUACCACACUAGGCUACCAAAAGAAUACAACUCGUAACUAUGAGAUAACUUAAUUGAUAUCAACUAUCAUGAAGAUCAAUCAUGGCACUAGCAUGCAAUCUCACAUUCUAGUCAUGACAUGUAAGAACACGAAAUCAUGGAAUAAGGACACAACCCUAUCAUGUUAGUUAAUAUAGGUAAGCACGUUCAUAAAGAGUAAUGAACAUGUAGGCGAGUAAACAACUAGAUCAUAUAAUCAACUACUCAACAUGUAUUAUACAACACGAAUAACAUGAUGGCAUGUGUUUCUAAAUAGUACAACCUCAUUUGCAAAUACAUAGAAGCACAACCAAGGCAUCGUACAACACACGGGUUGGUACACACAUGACAUGUAAGUCAACUAAAGUAAUAAAGUAGAACCUAAUUGGUACAACACACGGGUUGGUACACACAUGACAUGUAAGUCAACUAAGCAUGCAUAGCUACCAUCCUAGAUAAACAAGACAUCUAAGAUAAUUAACAAGAAGUAAUAAAGAAGGUUACAUGCUACAUCCUAAAUCAUAUGUAAGAAUACAAAUCGGAAACUGUGACAUGAAACAACCAACAAUGAAUAAUGGAUAGCAAACAUCUAUAAAACUACAUGAUCAAAUAGGCGAUAAUAUCUAUGCAACGAACUACGAUGUAGUCACCCCCAAUAACAAAGCAUCUCAUUUGAUAUCUAUCAUAAUUAACAUAUGCAAAACACAUGAAAUAAUACAACUAACCUAUACUAGACAUGCAUGACUAAAUGGUAGCCGACCAAGAUAAUUAUUUAGAUAACUCUAAAUAUUUGUAAAGAUUAAAUGACAAUUAACUAUACGCAACAACCAAUGAUUAACCUUGGCUUCGUUUAGCUUAUCGCAACUCUAAAACAAUAUCAACUUACUCAAAAAUCUAAUGUAACAUAACAUGCUCAUGAUAACCAGUGAAUGAAAAUUAAAUAUAUAACACAUAUGAUUAGAUAAGUGCUAACCUACAACAUGCCUUGACUUCACGCAUAAACAAAUCACAUAUGCAACAUGAUUGAGAACGAAAAUAUGAAAUAAUCUAAUAUAUCUACCAUGUAAGCAAAAAUAAAAAAUACACAAGAAAUAUUCCAUAACUAAAGAAAUGAAGUAAAGCUUCGAAUAACCCUACAUAAAUAUACGCAUGGUAAUAAAUCACAAAAAAAAAACUCGCACAUAUUACAUCAUACGACUAUAUAGAGAACUAACAAUUAUGACAUGAAAUGACACAUAAAACAUUGUUGUAACUUAAACAAUCCUACAAAUAAAUAUAGUAACGGACAGAUUACUACUAAAAAGUCCAAAGUAAUUAUGACUCAUUCCUCACGUGUUAAUCAAAUAUUGUACGCAUACACAAGAGAGGACUGCAUCAUGUAUCUAACAUUAUCAUCAGGAGACAACACAUACACUAUAUUUAAUAACUCAAACAAAAUCCUGAUUAAAUAUACCAACCAUGACAAUAAUUCGUAAAGUUCAGUACACUAGCACAAGAAGAACUAUAGGUAGUGACACAAAUUCGAGUCAAAACAAUACGUACAACAAUUUUAACAAUUCUAACAAGACUAAAAUUGAUUUAAUAAAUCAUAUGUGACUUUUAAAAUUAUGAAAUACCUUAAGGUGUUUCCAAGGUAUGUCACAAACAUAAUACAAACAAUAGACUAACAAGAAACGGCUACAAGCUUACGUUAAAAUUAACAUGUUAAAUCUAUACAAAACUGAUUUGAACAAUCAAACGAUCUAACUCCGGCCCAGGGUUGCUACAGCCAUAUAAAACAUUGUAUAUGUUGACUACAAGAUCAUUCGACGAACAAAAAUUGAAGAGACAAGCCUAUGCCAUCAAAUGAACUGAAUUUUGGAUUAGCGUGGCCAACGACGUGGAUAAUAUGAAACAUGAUGUCUAGGCAAUAAAACGAAAGGCAUUAAGGAGGUGCGCAAAAUGAAUUGGAUAUUCGCUCACCGAGCAUGAAGAUAUAAUGCAAUGAACUCGACGAAAAGUGUACACGGACAUGCGGAAUUCUUUGCGUGUGGUUGACGGAUCACCUUUUUUCUUCUCUGAAUGGAUUCACGACAUGGACGAUGAUCUUGUGGCGCAAGGACAUGAAUAGGGGUGGCUUGAGUCGCCAGAAUCGUGCACCGGCGUCCAUGGAGCAGCAGCACUUCCGGAAGAGAUUGUGGAAGAACGAGGAAGGUAGAGGGCAAGGCGUUGAGUGGAAUGACAGAGGAGGUCGAUGUGCACCUAUAUGUAGUCACGGAAUUUGAAACGAUCAAGAGUUAAAUAAAUUAGUGGAGAAG
RNAcentral lists this long non-coding RNA (3136 nucleotides) under Hordeum vulgare. RNAcentral's name for it is "long non-coding RNA (HVUL_LNC000599)". The record is from RNAcentral. Lineage: Eukaryota; Viridiplantae; Streptophyta; Magnoliopsida; Poales; Poaceae.